AGAAGGCUUUCGGGUCGUAAAACUCUGUUGUUAGGGAAGAACAAGUCCUAGUUGAAUAAGCUGGCACCUUGACGGUACCUAACCAGAAAGCCACGGCUAACUUCGUGCCAGCAGCCGCGGUAAUACGUAGGUGGCAAGCGUUAUCCGGAAUUAUUGGGCGUAAAGCGCGCGCAGGUGGUUUCUUAAAUCUGAUGUGAAAGCCCACGGCUCAACCGUGGAGGGUCAUUGGAAACUGGGAGACUUGAGUGCAGAAGAGGAAAGUGGAAUUCCAUGUGUAGCGGUGAAAUGGGUAGAGAUAUGGAGGAACACCAGUGGCGAAGGCGACUUUUUGGUCUGUAACUGACACUGAGGUUUAACGGGGCCCGAU
Molecule: ribosomal RNA, 367 nt
Filed under: Bacillus thuringiensis
Lineage: Bacteria; Bacillati; Bacillota; Bacilli; Caryophanales; Bacillaceae
Description: bacterial SSU rRNA
Rfam family: Bacterial small subunit ribosomal RNA
Source: RNAcentral